This 415-nucleotide unclassified non-coding RNA is filed under the name soil metagenome. RNAcentral's name for it is "partial contains 5.8S ribosomal RNA, internal transcribed spacer 2, and large subunit ribosomal RNA". The stretch from base 1 to 120 matches the Rfam family "5.8S ribosomal RNA", at positions 35 to 154 of the family's 154-position model. The record is from RNAcentral.
GAUGAAGAACGUAGCGAAAUGCGAUAAGUAAUGUGAAUUGCAGAAUUCAGUGAAUCAUCGAAUCUUUGAACGCACCUUGCACUCCUUGGUAUUCCGAGGAGUACGCCUGUUCGAGUGUUAUGAAGCUCUCAAAACGCAAUUGGCUUAAAACCUGAUUGUUGUUUUGGAUUUGAACUUUGCCGUGUUUAACGGCUGGUUUUAAAAGUAUUAGCUGGUACUAGAACGAAUUGGUUCUACUCAACGUGAUAAUUAUCUGAUCGUUGAGGACAUUCCUUUCACGAGGAAUGGCCAUAGUAAAUUCAAUGGACUGCUUCUAAUCUGGCUUUAAUUCUUUAUUGGAUUAACCACUUUUCAAAUCUGACCUCGAAUCAGGUGGGACUACCCGCUGAACUUAAGCAUAUCAAUAAGCGGAGGA